GGGGUUAUAGCUCAAUGGUAGAGCGCUCACCUUGUAAAUGAGAGACCCUGGGUUUGAUCCUCAGCUCCA
Non-coding RNA from Ictidomys tridecemlineatus (thirteen-lined ground squirrel), 69 nucleotides. Lineage: Eukaryota; Metazoa; Chordata; Mammalia; Rodentia; Sciuridae. The record is from Rfam.